GCUCCGGUCCCACGCAAUGGAAAUCUAUGAACCGUGUCAGGUCGGGAACGAAGCAGCACUAAGUAGAACCUUUCAUGUGACGUGGGGGUUCCGGGGUCUG
RNAcentral lists this signal recognition particle RNA (100 nucleotides) under Lachnospiraceae bacterium. RNAcentral's name for it is "signal recognition particle sRNA small type". It matches the Rfam family "Bacterial small signal recognition particle RNA". From Rfam's summary of the family: The signal recognition particle (SRP) is a universally conserved ribonucleoprotein involved in the co-translational targeting of proteins to membranes. Archaeal SRP consists of a 7S RNA and homologues of the eukaryotic SRP19 and SRP54 proteins. In most bacteria, the SRP consists of a 4.5S RNA and the Ffh protein (a homologue of the eukaryotic SRP54 protein). RNAcentral also lists the same sequence under 1 other name. Lineage: Bacteria; Bacillati; Bacillota; Clostridia; Lachnospirales; Lachnospiraceae. The record is from RNAcentral.